Molecule: ribosomal RNA, 1373 nt
Filed under: metagenome
Description: bacterial SSU rRNA
Rfam family: Bacterial small subunit ribosomal RNA
Source: RNAcentral
AGAGUUUGAUCCUGGCUCAGGACGAACGCUGGCGGCGCGCCUAACACAUGCAAGUCGAACGAGCGAGAGAGAGCUUGCUUUCUCGAGCGAGUGGCGAACGGGUGAGUAACGCGUGAGGAACCUGCCUCAAAGUGGGGGACAACAGUUGGAAACGACUGCUAAUACCGCAUAAGCCCACGGCUCGGCAUCGAGCAGAGGGAAAAGGAGCAAUCCGCUUUGAGAUGGCCUCGCGUCCGAUUAGCUAGUUGGUGAGGUAAUGGCCCACGAAGGCGACGAUCGGUAGCCGGACUGAGAGGUUGAACGGCCACAUUGGGACUGAGACACGGCCCAGACUCCUACGGGAGGCAGCAGUGGGGAAUAUUGCACAAUGGGGGAAACCCUGAUGCAGCGACGCCGCGUGGAGGAAGAAGGUCUUCGGAUUGUAAACUCCUGUUGUUGAGGAAGAUAAUGACGGUACUCAACAAGGAAGUGACGGCUAACUACGUGCCAGCAGCCGCGGUAAAACGUAGGUCACAAGCGUUGUCCGGAAUUACUGGGUGUAAAGGGAGCGCAGGCGGGAAGACAAGUUGGAAGUGAAAUCCCUGGGCUCAACCCAUGAACUGCUUUCAAAACUGUUUUUCUUGAGUGGUGCAGAGGUAGGCGGAAUUCCCGGUGUAGCGGUGGAAUGCGUAGAUAUCGGGAGGAACACCAGUGGCGAAGGCGGCCUACUGGGCACCAACUGACGCUGAGGCUCGAAAGUGUGGGUAGCAAACAGGAUUAGAUACCCUGGUAGUCCACACUGUAAACGAUGAUUACUAGGUGUUGGAGGAUUGACCCCCUCAGCGCCGCAGUUAACACAAUAAGUAAUCCACCUGGGGAGUACGACCGCAAGGUUGAAACUCAAAGGAAUUGACGGGGGCCCGCACAAGCAGUGGAGUAUGUGGUUUAAUUCGACGCAACGCGAAGAACCUUACCAAGUCUUGACAUCCUGCGACGCACAUAGAAAUAUGUGUUUCCUUCGGGACGCAGAGACAGGUGGUGCAUGGUUGUCGUCAGCUCGUGUCGUGAGAUGUUGGGUUAAGUCCCGCAACGAGCGCAACCCUUAUGGUCAGUUACUACGCAAGAGGACUCUGGCCAGACUGCCGUUGACAAAACGGAGGAAGGUGGGGAUGACGUCAAAUCAUCAUGCCCUUUAUGACUUGGGCUACACACGUACUACAAUGGCGUUAAACAAAGAGAAGCAAGACCGCGAGGUGGAGCAAAACUCAGAAACAACGUCCCAGUUCGGACUGCAGGCUGCAACUCGCCUGCACGAAGUCGGAAUUGCUAGUAAUCGCAGAUCAGCAUGCUGCGGUGAAUACGUUCCCGGGCCUUGUACACACCGCCCGUCACAC